UACGUAGGGUGCAAGCGUUGUCCGGAAUUACUGGGCGUAAAGGGCUCGUAGGCGGCCUGUCGCGUCGGGAGUGAAAGCCCACUGCUUAACGGUGGGUCUGCUUCCGGUACGGGCGGGCUGGAGUAUGGCAGGGGAGACUGGAAUUCCUGGUGUAGCGGUGGAAUGCGCAGAUAUCAGGAGGAACACCGGUGGCGAAGGCGGGUCUCUGGGCCAUUACUGACGCUGAGGAGCGAAAGCGUGGGGAGCGAACAGG
This 253-nucleotide ribosomal RNA is filed under the name uncultured bacterium. RNAcentral's name for it is "partial 16S ribosomal RNA". It matches the Rfam family "Bacterial small subunit ribosomal RNA", at positions 524 to 776 of the family's 1533-position model. The record is from RNAcentral.